RNAcentral lists this ribosomal RNA (253 nucleotides) under uncultured bacterium. RNAcentral describes it as "partial 16S ribosomal RNA". It matches the Rfam family "Bacterial small subunit ribosomal RNA", at positions 524 to 776 of the family's 1533-position model. The record is from RNAcentral.
UACGUAGGGUGCGAGCGUUGCCCGGAUUUAUUGGGCGUAAAGGGCGCGUAGGCGGCUCGGCACGUCCGUUGUGAAAUCGCCCGGCUCAACUGGGCGGGGUCAGCGGAUACGGCCGAGCUUGAGCAAGCUAGGGGGCAAUGGAAUUCCGGGUGUAGUGGUGAAAUGCGUAGAUAUUCGGAAGAACACCAGUGGCGAAGGCGGCUCACUGGCCCGGUACUGACGCUGAUGUGCGAAAGCGUGGGGAGCAAACAGG